Molecule: unclassified non-coding RNA, 200 nt
Filed under: Hevea brasiliensis (rubber tree)
Lineage: Eukaryota; Viridiplantae; Streptophyta; Magnoliopsida; Malpighiales; Euphorbiaceae
Source: RNAcentral
GGGCCUGUUUUUGAUGGGGUUUUUCACAUGUUGUUGAACCAGAACUCCUCAACAUUCCACAAAUUGUCGGAUGGGUCCCCACCGUCCACCCAUAAUUGGUGGUUGUUCUGCUCCAUGGCUUGGAAAUCCAUUACUUGGUUAAAAUAACCAGAAGGACUAAUCAUCAAUUCUGAGUAGCCAACUUGCCCAGAUUGAAAAUA